UAAGCAUAUCAAUAAGCGGAGGAAAAGAAACUAACAAGGAUUCCCCUAGUAACUGCGAGUGAAGCGGGAAAAGCUCAAAUUUAAAAUCUGGCGGUCUUAUGGCCGUCCGAGUUGUAGUCUGGAGAAGUGCUUUCCGCGCUGGACCGUGUACAAGUCUCUUGGAACAGAGCGUCAUAGAGGGUGAGAAUCCCGUCUUUGACACGGACUACCAGUGCUUUGUGAUGUGCUCUCAAAGAGUCGAGUUGUUUGGGAAUGCAGCUCAAAAUGGGUGGUAAAUUCCAUCUAAAGCUAAAUAUUGGCGAGAGACCGAUAGCGAACAAGUACCGUGAGGGAAAGAUGAAAAGCACUUUGGAAAGAGAGUUAAACAGUACGUGAAAUUGCUGAAAGGGAAACGCUUGAAGUCAGUCGCGUUGGCCAGGACUCAGCCUUGCUUUUGCUUGGUGCAUUUUCUGGUUGACGGGCCAGCAUCGAUUUUGACCAUUGGAAAAAGAUUAGGGGAAUGUGGCACCUUCGGGUGUGUUAUAGCCCUUAGUCACAUACAGUGGUUGGGAUCGAGGACCGCAGCACGCCUUUAUUGGCCGGGGUUCGCCCACGUUCGUGCUUAGGAUGCUGGCGUAAUGGCUUUAAACGACCCGUCUUGAAACACGGACCAAGGAGUCUAACAUGCCUGCGAGUGUUUGGGUGGAAAACCCGAGCGCGUAAUGAAAGUGAAAGUUGAGAUCCUUGUCAUGGGGAGCAUCGACGCCCGGACCUGAACUUCGGUGAUGGAUCUGCGGUAGAGCAUGUAUGUUGGGACCCGAAAGAUGGUGAACUAUGCCUGAAUAGGGUGAAGCCAGAGGAAACUCUGGUGGAGGCUCGUAGCGAUUCUGACGUGCAAAUCGAUCGUCAAAUUUGGGUAUAGGGGCGAAAGACUAAUCGAACCAUCUAGUAGCUGGUUCCUGCCG
This 944-nucleotide ribosomal RNA is filed under the name Fomitopsis betulina (razor strop fungus). RNAcentral's name for it is "LSU rRNA". It matches the Rfam family "Eukaryotic large subunit ribosomal RNA", at positions 35 to 963 of the family's 3401-position model. Lineage: Eukaryota; Fungi; Basidiomycota; Agaricomycetes; Polyporales; Fomitopsidaceae. The record is from RNAcentral.